GUGGCGGAAUUGGCAGACGCACAGCACUCAAAAUGCUGCGCUUUCGGGCGUAUCGGUUCGACUCCGAUCAGCGGCACCA
RNAcentral lists this transfer RNA (79 nucleotides) under Eubacteriaceae bacterium. Its description in RNAcentral is "tRNA-Leu". It matches the Rfam family "tRNA". From Rfam's summary of the family: Transfer RNA (tRNA) molecules are approximately 80 nucleotides in length. Their secondary structure includes four short double-helical elements and three loops (D, anti-codon, and T loops). Further hydrogen bonds mediate the characteristic L-shaped molecular structure. tRNAs have two regions of fundamental functional importance: the anti-codon, which is responsible for specific mRNA codon recognition, and the 3' end, to which the tRNAs corresponding amino acid is attached (by aminoacyl-tRNA synthetases). tRNAs cope with the degeneracy of the genetic code in two manners: having more than one tRNA (with a specific anti-codon) for a particular amino acid; and 'wobble' base-pairing, i.e. permitting non-standard base-pairing at the 3rd anti-codon position. The record is from RNAcentral. Lineage: Bacteria; Bacillati; Bacillota; Clostridia; Eubacteriales; Eubacteriaceae.